This 494-nucleotide ribosomal RNA is filed under the name uncultured bacterium. RNAcentral describes it as "partial 16S ribosomal RNA". It matches the Rfam family "Bacterial small subunit ribosomal RNA", at positions 28 to 507 of the family's 1533-position model. The record is from RNAcentral.
GACGAACGCUGGCGGCGUGCUUAACACAUGCAAGUCGAACGGAAAGGCCUGCUUUCCCUUGUGGAUUGCGGGUACUCGAGUGGCGAACGGGUGAGUAACACGUGAGUGAUCUGCCCCCAACUUGGGUAUAAGCCUGGGAAACUGGGUCUAAUUCCCGAUAGGACUGCAGGGUGGUGCCUGUGGUGGAAAACGAUUUUCUAGUGGUUGGGGAUGAGCUCGCGGCCUAUCAGCUUGUUGGUGGGGUAAUGGCCUACCAAGGCGGCGACGGGUAGCCGGCCUGGGAGGGUGGACGGCCACAUUGGGACUGGGAUACGGCCCAGACUCCUACGGGAGGCAGCAGUGGGGAAUAUUGCACAAUGGGCGGAAGCCUGAUGCAGCGACGCCGCGUGGGGGAUGACGGCCUUCGGGUUGUAAACUCCUUUCGACCGCGAGGAAGCCACCUGGUUGGAAGGGUGGUGACGGUAGUGGGAGAAGAAGCACCGGCUAACUACGUG